GUGAAAGCUUUUCCCCUUCAGGCAGGUUUGGUUUGAUCCUUCUAACAAGUUUAGUGUCUUGCUAAGUUUUCUGUGUGUCUGCUUGUGUGCAGGAAAAACACGAUGAUGAUGUGGGACUUGCUGUUUGAGGGCAGAAAGCUGAUUCAACGAGCCAGUGUCCAGUGGCCCAGCAAUGAACAAAAGAGAAAAGCAGAGUGUGUGCUCAAGAACUCAGAAAGACUCUACAAGCUGAGAACGACGGCAAUACUGCUCAGGAGGCAGAGGCAGGAGGAUCUUUGUGUCUUCUAGGCCAGCCUGGUCUACAUAUCAAGUUUCAAGCUAGCCAGGGCUUUACAGUGAGACCCUGUCUCAAAAAGCCAAAACCAAAACCACAGCAGCAGCAGCAACAGGGACAGCAGCAACAGCAAUAAAGAAAAAAAAAACUGCUAAAAAGACAGCUACUUGGCAAACAAUUGCCUUCUUAGGGUGAAAGGCCCAGGAUGCUGCCUUCCCCCUCCAGGAUGGACACCAUGAGCCCAUCACUCUCUUCUUCAGUUGGUAGUGAACGUGGUGAUGAGUAUAAGUAUAGCAGGGCACUCCAGAAUAAAGAGGACAUGUGGAGAAACUGUUGGCUGUGGGAAAUACGAGAGGCUCAGCCUGGACAAACUGCUCACACUGUGAUGUAGCCUUUGGUAAAAUGAUCACCAUGGGAUGAAAUCUAGUCAAAGAGAAUGUAGUUCAGCAGCAUAGGGAGAAUGUUAACAAGUAUUGGAAGACCUGGGUGGAUGCUCUUCUUGCUUGGUUUCUGAGCAGUAUAAAUUGCUGGAAAUAGCAAAUACUGGAACUUUAUUUUGUUUUUAUAGUGGGAGGGGACCAGACAGCUGGAACCACUUGACAGAUAUAAAAACUGAUAAACCUCAAGAACUUAAGCAAGUGAUUGUCCAGUAUAUCCAGCCAGCCAGUGUCUGAGUUGUACCUGGACUGAAGACCCCUGGCUCCCCAUCCAGGGUGCUCCCUUACUCCACAUGAUGGGUUAGGAGCUAUAGUGAUAACACACAGACAUGGGGAACAGUUCACAGUGUCAGAGAACCUUGCUUGCAAGCACUAUGGUGCUGUAACUUGGAAAUGGAGCUCUUAAUUGGUCCAGAUAAUAAAAUUCUGGAGUCAGAUACAGAGGAAAAUGCUGAGAAAU
RNAcentral lists this long non-coding RNA (1171 nucleotides) under Cricetulus griseus (Chinese hamster). RNAcentral's name for it is "lncRNA (ENSCGRG00000024204.1)". The record is from RNAcentral. Lineage: Eukaryota; Metazoa; Chordata; Mammalia; Rodentia; Cricetidae.